UAGGGAAUAUUGGUCAAUGGGUGAGAGCCUGAACCAGCCAUGCCGCGUGCAGGAAGACGGCCUUCUGGGUUGUAAACUGCUUUUAUCUGGGGAUAAAAAGCCCAUGCGUGGGACAUUGAAGGUACCAGAUGAAUAAGCACCGGCUAACUACGUGCCAGCAGCCGCGGUAAUACGUAGGGUGCAAGCGUUGUCCGGAUUUAUUGGGUUUAAAGGGUGCGUAGGCGGUCUAUUAAGUCAGUGGUGAAAUCCAACAGCUCAACUGUUGAUGUGCCAAUGAUACUGAUGGACUUGAGUACAGUCGAGGUAGGCGGAAUUGACAGUGUAGCGGUGAAAUGCAUAGAUAUUGUCAAGACACCGAUAGCGAAGGCAGCUUGCUAGCCUGUAACUGACGCUGAGGCACGA
This 402-nucleotide ribosomal RNA is filed under the name uncultured bacterium. Its description in RNAcentral is "bacterial SSU rRNA". It matches the Rfam family "Bacterial small subunit ribosomal RNA", at positions 355 to 756 of the family's 1533-position model. The record is from RNAcentral.